This 401-nucleotide long non-coding RNA is filed under the name Homo sapiens (human). RNAcentral describes it as "non-protein coding lnc-BAZ2B-1:1". Lineage: Eukaryota; Metazoa; Chordata; Mammalia; Primates; Hominidae. The record is from RNAcentral.
GCGGCGCGGCGGGGACCGAGAGCUGCGGGCGGGCUGGAGGUACCCCACCGCGGGGUGGUGCUCUGACUGCGGGAACCGUUGAAGAGCUGCCCCCGGGGAGUCAGCGAGGCGCCACUGGUCUCUUAGACAUCUUCUCAAGAUUAUGCUAAGAGAAAUGACUGCACCCUUUUCCUGAGCUAUGGCAGUCAGACCUGGCAGUGGUAACUACUCUACAGAACUCCCAAACCUGGCAAGGAUGGUGCAGAUUUUGGCAGAUUAUGGCUUUGUCCCCACCCAGCACUGAUGAUAUUAUAAACAGACCUAUACUACAAGAAAUGAUAAUGGAAGUUCUUCAACUGAGCAAGAAAUGAUAUUAACAGAAAACUUGGAUCUUCAGAAGCAAAUGAAGAACAUCAGAAAUG